This 680-nucleotide ribosomal RNA is filed under the name Paenibacillus suaedae. RNAcentral's name for it is "partial 23S ribosomal RNA". It matches the Rfam family "Bacterial large subunit ribosomal RNA", at positions 2238 to 2925 of the family's 2925-position model. The record is from RNAcentral. Lineage: Bacteria; Bacillati; Bacillota; Bacilli; Caryophanales; Paenibacillaceae.
AACCGGUUCGGGGACAGUGUCAGGUGGGUAGUUUGACUGGGGCGGUCGCCUCCUAAAGAGUAACGGAGGCGCCCCAAGGUUCCCUCAGAAUGGUUGGAAAUCAUUCGAAGAGUGCAAAGGCAUAAGGGAGCUUGACUGCGAGACCUACAAGUCGAGCAGGGACGAAAGUCGGGCUUAGUGAUCCGGUGGUUCCGCAUGGAAGGGCCAUCGCUCAACGGAUAAAAGCUACCCUGGGGAUAACAGGCUUAUCUCCCCCAAGAGUCCACAUCGACGGGGAGGUUUGGCACCUCGAUGUCGGCUCAUCGCAUCCUGGGGCUGAAGUAGGUCCCAAGGGUUGGGCUGUUCGCCCAUUAAAGCGGUACGCGAGCUGGGUUCAGAACGUCGUGAGACAGUUCGGUCCCUAUCUGUCGCGGGCGUAGGAAAUUUGAGAGGAGCUGUCCUUAGUACGAGAGGACCGGGAUGGACGCACCGCUGGUGUACCAGUUGUUCCGCCAGGAGCAUAGCUGGGUAGCUAUGUGCGGAAGGGAUAAGCGCUGAAAGCAUCUAAGCGUGAAGCCCCCCUCAAGAUGAGAUUUCCCAAUUAGUAAGACCCCUUGAAGACGACGAGGUAGAUAGGUUGGAGGUGGAAGCACAGCAAUGUGUGGAGCUGACCAAUACUAAUCGGUCGAGGGCUUAUCCUA